RNAcentral lists this ribosomal RNA (499 nucleotides) under uncultured bacterium. Its description in RNAcentral is "partial 16S ribosomal RNA". It matches the Rfam family "Bacterial small subunit ribosomal RNA", at positions 28 to 507 of the family's 1533-position model. The record is from RNAcentral.
GAUGAACGCUGGCGGCGUGCCUAAUACAUGCAAGUCGAGCGAACAGACGAGAGUGCUUGCACUCUCUGACGUUAGCGGCGGACGGGUGAGUCACACGUGGGUAACCUACCUAUAAGACUGGGAUAACUUCGGGAAACCGGAGCUAAUACCGGAUAAUAUUUAGCUUCGCAUGAAGCAAUAGUGAAAGACGGUUCUGCUGUCACUUAUAGAUGGACCCGCGGUGUAUUAGCUAGUUGGUGAGGUAACGGCUCACCAAGGCAACGAUGCAUAGCCGACCUGAGAGGGUGAUCGGCCACACUGGAGCUGAGACACGGCCCAGACUCCUACGGGAGGCAGCAGUAGGGAAUCUUCCGCAAUGGACGAAAGUCUGACGGAGCAAUGCCGCGUGAGUGAAGAAGGUUUUCGGAUCGUAAAACUCUGUUGUUAGGGAAGAACAAGUACGUUAGUAACUGAACGUACCUUGACGGUACCUUACCAGAAAGCCACGGCUAACUACGUG